GGCUUUGUCUGACUUGGGGUCUCAGGCUUUGGUAGGUGUUGUGGCUUUGUCUGACUUGGGGUCUGAGGCUUUGAUUGGUGUUGUGGCUUUGUCUGACUUGGGGUCUGAGGCUUUGGUAGGUGUUGUGGUUCAGGCUGACUUGUGGUCUGAGGCUUUGAUAGGUGUUGUGGCUUUGUCUGACUUGGGGUCUGAGGCUUUGGUAGGUGUUGUGGCUUUGUCUGACUUGGAUUCUGAGGCUUUGAUAGGUGUUGUGGUUCAGACUGACUUGGGGUCUCAGGCUUUGAUAGGUGUGCUUCAGGCUGACUUGGGGUCUGGGGCUUUGAUAGGUGUUGUGGUUCAGGCUGACUUGUGGUCUGAGGCUUUGAUGGGUGUUGUGGCUUUGUCUGAC
This is a long non-coding RNA of Hippocampus comes (tiger tail seahorse), 388 nucleotides long. RefSeq lists it as uncharacterized. The transcript is spliced from 4 exons. The record is from RefSeq and is a predicted model, not a curated record. NCBI's taxonomy places the organism in Eukaryota, Metazoa, Chordata, Actinopteri, Syngnathiformes, Syngnathidae.